This is a long non-coding RNA of Bos taurus (domestic cattle), 506 nucleotides long. NCBI's taxonomy places the organism in Eukaryota, Metazoa, Chordata, Mammalia, Artiodactyla, Bovidae. The record is from Ensembl.
UCCCAGGAAAGCACGCGUGGCCCCAAGGUGAGGCCUGAAACGACGCCUAGCCACCUUCCGGAAAUGCUGGAUGAGUUUUCUAAGUAUUUUUCAGGACUUAAUCCCGCAAUCUCAGACUUCCUUUGGCUGUUCCAGAGUUAAUAAAUUAGAAGCACACGCAGCCAACCCUGUACUCGUACACUAUUUUGGUUGCUUCCUGUCACCAGGGGACACUGCCGUGGGGACCUCUGCCCCAUUCUAGCUCGAGCCCAAGGCCGCAUCCAGGGAGCCGCGUGGCCACCUGCUGAGUAGGGGUCAUUGUAGCACGAGUCUGAGAGGCUGAACAAACAGGAUCAACUCAAAGUCCUCUUCAAGGCCACACAUUCUGGGUUUGUUUCGUCCCUUUUUACCCAGAGCCGCGCCCAGCUGUCCCACGUCUCUUGCCUUCCCUGAACCGCAGCACUGGCUUGUCGAAAAGACUCGGCCAGUUUGUUUUGCAGAAUGUGUUUUAGAUUUGCUUGAUUGUU